CCUAACCGUGUUGGGUGCCUCAAGUCCAACUGGGACCGGAGACCACCCCCAAAUACCAAACCAUAACCCAACAACCUCAACCAAAUAUCCAACUGGUGCCAACCCUAACGCCAAUUCUAAUACCAAGACUGACAUUAAUACCGACACUGCCCAUGACUAUAGUAGUCCCACAAAGACUCUAACCAAAAAUAAAAGAACAUCUGAUCGAGACAUGCCCCCGAC
RNAcentral lists this long non-coding RNA (222 nucleotides) under Capsicum annuum. RNAcentral's name for it is "long non-coding RNA (CANN_LNC014118)". The record is from RNAcentral. Lineage: Eukaryota; Viridiplantae; Streptophyta; Magnoliopsida; Solanales; Solanaceae.